AGUGAACGCUGGCGGUAGGCCUAACACAUGCAAGUCGAACGGCAGCACAGUAAGAGCUUGCUCUUACGGGUGGCGAGUGGCGGACGGGUGAGGAAUACAUCGGAAUCUACUUUUUCGUGGGGGAUAACGUAGGGAAACUUACGCUAAUAUCGCAUACGACCUGCGGGUGAAAGCAGGGGAUCUUCGGACCUUGCGCGAAUGAAUGAGCCGAUGUCGGAUUAGCUAGUUGGCGGGGUAAAGGCCCACCAAGGCGGCGAUCCGUAGCUGGUCUGAGAGGAUGAUCGGCGACACUGGAGGUGAGACGCGGUCCAGAGUCCUACGGGAGGCAGCAGUGGGGAAUGUUGGACAAUGGGCGCAAGCCUGAUCCAGCCGUACCGCGUGGGUGAAGAAGGCCUUCGGGUUGUAAAGCCCUUUUGUGGGGAAAAAAAAGCAGCAGGUUAAUACCCCGCUGUUCUGACGGUACCCAAAGAAUAAGCACCGGCUAACUUCGUG
Molecule: ribosomal RNA, 492 nt
Filed under: uncultured bacterium
Lineage: Bacteria
Description: partial 16S ribosomal RNA
Rfam family: Bacterial small subunit ribosomal RNA
Source: RNAcentral